UGCAAGUCGAACGGAAGUCGUUAUAAAAGGAGAGAAGAUUUAUCGGAUUGAAUUUUAUAACAAUGGCUUUAGUGGCGGACUGGUGAGUAACGCGUAAGGAACCUACCUAUUAGAGGGGAACAACAAUGAGAAAUCAUUGCUAAUACCGCAUAUGCCAUAACUACCGCAUGGUAGAAGUGGGAAAGGAGUAAUUCGCUGAUAGAUGGCCUUGCGUCUGAUUAGUUAGUUGGUGGGGUAACGGCCUACCAAGACGACGAUCAGUAGCCGGACUGAGAGGUUGAACGGCCACAUUGGGACUGAGAUACGGCCCAGACUCCUACGGGAGGCAGCAGUCGGGAAUAUUGCGCAAUGGAGGAAACUCUGACGCAGUGACGCCGCGUGCAGGAAGAAGGUUUUCGGAUUGUAAACUGCUUUAGACAGGGAAGAGAAAGGACAGUACCUGUAGAAUAAGCUCCGGCUAACUACGUGCCAGCAGCCGCGGUAAUACGUAGGGAGCGAGCGUUAUCCGGAUUUAUUGG
RNAcentral lists this ribosomal RNA (518 nucleotides) under uncultured bacterium. RNAcentral describes it as "bacterial SSU rRNA". It matches the Rfam family "Bacterial small subunit ribosomal RNA", at positions 56 to 557 of the family's 1533-position model. The record is from RNAcentral.